GCGACCCCAGGUCAGACGGGAUUA
This 24-nucleotide ribosomal RNA is filed under the name Rhododendron semibarbatum. RNAcentral describes it as "partial 28S ribosomal RNA". Lineage: Eukaryota; Viridiplantae; Streptophyta; Magnoliopsida; Ericales; Ericaceae. The record is from RNAcentral.